Molecule: unclassified non-coding RNA, 255 nt
Filed under: uncultured Ascomycota
Lineage: Eukaryota; Fungi; Ascomycota
Description: sequence contains 5.8S rRNA gene, ITS2, 28S rRNA gene
Rfam family: 5.8S ribosomal RNA (bases 1-52)
Source: RNAcentral
AACGCACAUUGCGCCCUUUGGUAUUCCGAAGGGCAUGCCUGUUCGAGCGUCAUUGCAACCCCUCCAGCCGCUGGGCUGGGUGUUGGGCGUGUUGUGGGCUGCGGCCCACUCGCCUGAAAAGCAUCGGCGUCGGUGCGUCGGCCCUGCAGCGUAGCACAUUGUUCGCAGCAGAGAUCGACGGCGCAGCGGCCGCCUAAAACACCUUUGCAUCUGACACUUGACCUCGAAUCAGGUAGGGAUACCCGCUGAACUUAA